RNAcentral lists this ribosomal RNA (475 nucleotides) under uncultured bacterium. RNAcentral's name for it is "bacterial SSU rRNA". It matches the Rfam family "Bacterial small subunit ribosomal RNA", at positions 29 to 506 of the family's 1533-position model. The record is from RNAcentral.
ACGAACGCUGGCGGCGUGCUUAACACAUGCAAGUCGAACGGAUCCAGUAGCAAUAUUGGGUUAGUGGCGAACGGGUGAGUAACACGUGACUAAUCUGCCCCGGACUGGGGAAUAACGUCGGGAAACUGACGCUAAAACCGCAUAUUGAGCGAGGGUUGCAUGACCUGCGCUUGAAAGAUUUAUCGGUCCGGGAUGAGGUCGCGCCCCAUUAGCUUGUUGGUAGGGUAACGGCCUACCAAGGCGACGAUGGGUAGCUGGUCUGAGAGGAUGAUCAGCCACACUGGGACUGAGAUACGGCCCAGACUCCUAUGGGAGGCAGCAGUGAGGAAUAUUGCGCAAUGGGCGAAAGCCUGACGCAGCAACGCCGCGUGGGGGAUGAAGGUGGUUUCCAUUGUAAACCCCUGUAGGGAGGGACGAACAAGCUGGUUUUGCCGGCUUUGACGGUACCUCCAAAGUAAGCACCGGCUAACUCCGU